CAGUAGCCGCGGUAAUACGGAGGGUGCAAGCGUUAAUCGGAAUUACUGGGCGUAAAGCGCACGCAGGCGGUUUGUUAAGUCAGAUGUGAAAUCCCCGGGCUCAACCUGGGAACUGCAUCUGAUACUGGCAAGCUUGAGUCUCGUAGAGGGGGGUAGAAUUCCAGGUGUAGCGGUGAAAUGCGUAGAGAUCUGGAGGAAUACCGGUGGCGAAGGCGGCCCCCUGGACGAAGACUGACGCUCAGGUGCGAAAGCGUGGGGAGCAAACAGGAUUAGAUACCCCGGUAGUCCCUGUCUCUUAUAC
This 301-nucleotide ribosomal RNA is filed under the name uncultured bacterium. RNAcentral describes it as "partial 16S ribosomal RNA". It matches the Rfam family "Bacterial small subunit ribosomal RNA", at positions 509 to 807 of the family's 1533-position model. The record is from RNAcentral.